This 225-nucleotide ribosomal RNA is filed under the name uncultured bacterium. RNAcentral's name for it is "partial 16S ribosomal RNA". It matches the Rfam family "Bacterial small subunit ribosomal RNA", at positions 109 to 334 of the family's 1533-position model. The record is from RNAcentral.
AGUAACGCGUGGGUAACCUGCCUCAUACAGGGGAGUAACAGUUAGAAAUGACUGCUAAUACCGCAUAAGCGCACAGUGCUGCAUGGCACAGUGUGAAAAACUCCGGUGGUAUGAGAUGGACCCGCGUCUGAUUAGCUAGUUGGUGGGGUAACGGCCUACCAAGGCGACGAUCAGUAGCCGGCCUGAGAGGGUGAACGGCCACAUUGGGACUGAGACACGGCCCAA